GAGCAGCAAAACCGCGAGGUGGAGCAAAUCUCCAAAAAACGUCUCAGUUCGGAUUGUAGGCUGCAACCCGCCUGCAUGAAGUCGGAAUUGCUAGUAAUCGUAGAUCAGCAUGCUACGGUGAAUACGUUCCCGGGCCUUGUACACACCGCCCGUCAAACCAUGAGAGUUGGCAACACCCGAAGCCUGUAGCUUAACCGCAAGGACGGCGCAGUCGAAGGUGGGGUCGAUGAUUAGGGUUAAGUCGUAACAAGGUACC
RNAcentral lists this ribosomal RNA (256 nucleotides) under uncultured bacterium. RNAcentral's name for it is "partial 16S ribosomal RNA". It matches the Rfam family "Bacterial small subunit ribosomal RNA", at positions 1244 to 1500 of the family's 1533-position model. The record is from RNAcentral.